This is a non-coding RNA of Hordeum vulgare subsp. vulgare (domesticated barley), 124 nucleotides long. The record is from Rfam. Lineage: Eukaryota; Viridiplantae; Streptophyta; Magnoliopsida; Poales; Poaceae.
UAUAUACUACCUCCGUCCGAAAAUACUUGUCCUAGAGAUGAAUGUAUCUAGACUUAUUUUAAUUAUAGAUACUUUCAUUAUAUGUAUUUUUAGGACAAUUACUUUUGGACGGAGGGAGUAUUAC